RNAcentral lists this ribosomal RNA (377 nucleotides) under uncultured bacterium. Its description in RNAcentral is "bacterial SSU rRNA". It matches the Rfam family "Bacterial small subunit ribosomal RNA", at positions 30 to 420 of the family's 1533-position model. The record is from RNAcentral.
AUUGAACGCUGGCGGCAGGCCUAACACAUGCAAGUCGAGCGGCAGCACUUCGGGUGGCGAGCGGCGGACGGGUGAGUAACACGUAGGAAUCUACCUAGUAGUGGGGGAUAGCCCGGGGAAACUCGGAUUAAUACCGCAUACGCUCUACGGAGGAAAGGGGGCUUCGGCUCUCGCUAUUAGAUGAGCCUGCGUCGGAUUAGCUAGUUGGUGAGGUAAAGGCUCACCAAGGCGACGAUCCGUAACUGGUCUGAGAGGAUGAUCAGUCACACUGGAACUGAGGCACGGUCCAGACUCCUACGGGAGGCAGCAGUGGGGAAUAUUGGACAAUGGGGGAAACCCGUGAUCCAGCCAUACCGCGUGUGUGAAGAAGGCCUCGG